GUCCUUUUGAUAAUAAUAUAAGGUCUAACCUGCCCACUGAAAUUUUAAAGGGCCGCAGUAUUUUAACUGUGCAAAGGUAGCAUAAUAAUUAGUUUCUUAAUUAGAAGCUGGUAUGAAUGGUUGAACGAGAAAUUUACUGUCUCAAUUUAUAUAUUAAAAUUUUAUUUUUAAGUUAAAAAGCUUAAAUUUAUUUAAAAGACGAGAAGACCCUAUAGAGUUUUAUAAAUUUAAUUAUAUUAUUUUUAGAAUUUUUUUUUAUUUAAAUUUAUUUUAUUGGGGUGAUAUAUAAAUUUAAUAAACUUUAUAUUUUUAAUAACAUUAAUUAAUGUUUAAUUGAUCCAUAUAAAUGAUUAAAAGAAAAAAUUACCUUAGGGAUAACAGCGUAAUUUUUUUUUAGAGUUCUAAUCGAAAAAAAAGAUUGCGACCUCGAUGUUGGAUUAAAAUUAAUUUUUGGUGUAGAAGCUAAAAUAUUAGGUCUGUUCGACCUUUAAAAUUUUACAUGAUCUGAGUUUAAACCGGCGUGAGCCAGGUUGGUUUCUAUCUUUAAAAAAAAUAAAUAUUUUAGUACGAAAGGACCAAGUAUUUUUAAAAUUUAAUAUUUUUGAAUA
This 608-nucleotide ribosomal RNA is filed under the name Hydraena angulosa. RNAcentral's name for it is "partial 16S ribosomal RNA". It matches the Rfam family "Bacterial large subunit ribosomal RNA", at positions 1819 to 2724 of the family's 2925-position model. Lineage: Eukaryota; Metazoa; Arthropoda; Insecta; Coleoptera; Hydraenidae. The record is from RNAcentral.